This 1325-nucleotide long non-coding RNA is filed under the name Astyanax mexicanus (Mexican tetra). RNAcentral's name for it is "lncRNA (ENSAMXG00005003540.1)". The record is from RNAcentral. Lineage: Eukaryota; Metazoa; Chordata; Actinopteri; Characiformes; Acestrorhamphidae.
UUUGAGUUUUCAGUGAAGUUUCUCCAGCACUAAGGCUGGAGCAGGAUUAGCAUUAGCCGCUAACUGCAGUGCUAGCUCUUUCGCUGUUCAGAGGUGAGUAUAUCGGACUGUAGUCUGUGUGUUUAACGUGUUAAAACAAGCUACGUGGGGCGAACCGCUAGCUGAUAGCGCCCUGGGUUACCAGAACACACUGGGUUUCUCGGUCUAGCGCUGCAAUUAGCGGCUAAUGCUGCUGCGCCCAGCCUUAGUGCUGGAGAAACUUCACUGAAAACUCAAACCUAGACACAAAAUACUGGAAAUCAAAGCUAAAAUUACUACUACACAGUUUUCAGGAGAGAAAUCUGUGUAGAUUAACAUCCAGCACUCGUUUAACUUUAAAAGAAAACGUGUUUUAAGAAUUACAGUUUUGUUUAUUUAGGCAUUUCCCCCAGCUUGACCAUUAGAGAGGAAACAUGGCGACACCCUUGCUCACUUCGAUGUAGCAUCCUUACUAGUGUCGUUUUUAAUGUGCCUUAUAAUUCAGUAAACCUUGUUGGCCAAAAAAAUAUGAUACAUAAUCAUUAAUAAUCAAUGCCAGAUCACCACAACUAAAUAAAUUACAUUUUUACACUUUUAUACCUUUUAAUAAUAAACCUUUACAGUAAUUGGCAUAUUUUUUUGCAUAAUUAAAUAUAAUUGGCAGUUUUAGUUAUAGUUUAUAGUAGGCCUGUAAAAUAAAAAAAACACCCCCAUAUCUGUAGUUCAAGUUGUGAGGUGCUAUCUUGUGAGUGAGGUUGAUAGAACACAAUGGUCAAUUUUGCUCUUGGCAAGGCCGUGUGAAUUAUAGGGGUUUGUGGGGGUGCCAGAUGUUUAGGGCAUUUUAGUUCUAGUUCCUGCAGAUACAUGGCUUUUGCUGUCCCGUGACUUUUGACAUGUCAGUGUGUGUUAUCGACAUGUGUUCCGUCCACAGCUGGAGAGAGCUGGACUCUGUCUGUGGGGUCUCGGUGGUACAGGUGGGCGCAGGAAGUCACCCCAAAUACCACUCUGACGUACCACACCAACCCAACGGUGUAGAAGCUGGAGGUGAAUGCGAGGUGGAGGAUCUCUCUGAUGGUGUGUUUCUGAAGAGGCAUGCUGUGUGUGAGAGCCGGGAGAGAAGCCGAUGGGGGAGCUGGGCUCGUCGACGCCGCCGGGGCAGGUAAAUGGACUGUGUGUGUCUGUGUGUGUGUUCACAGUGGGAGUGUGUAUGGGUGACUAGGAAAGACAUGAGAACAGGAUCGUACAGACUUGAUAUUAAUCUUAAAAUUAAAAUUAAUUUUAUUGAAUAAAAUGUUCAGUUAGCAGCA